RNAcentral lists this ribosomal RNA (253 nucleotides) under uncultured bacterium. RNAcentral's name for it is "partial 16S ribosomal RNA". It matches the Rfam family "Bacterial small subunit ribosomal RNA", at positions 524 to 776 of the family's 1533-position model. The record is from RNAcentral.
UACGUAGGGGGCAAGCGUUGUCCGGAAUUAUUGGGCGUAAAGCGCGCGCAGGCGGCCUCCUAAGUCCGAUGUGAAAGCCCACGGCUCAACCGUGGAGGGUCAUUGGAAACUGGGGGGCUUGAGUGCAGGAGAGAAGAGUGGAAUUCCACGUGUAGCGGUGAAAUGCGUAGAGAUGUGGAGGAACACCAGUGGCGAAGGCGACUCUGUGGCCUGUAACUGACGCUGAGGCGCGAAAGCGUGGGGAGCAAACAGG